UUCAUGUUUUGGUCUCCGGCUCCUUGUGUUUAGUUUGUUUGUUAUUUUUCCUGUUUUACUUUGGAGGUGCAUGUCUUAUGUUAAUGUAUCUGGUUUUGCUUCCCCUGUUUCGUUAGCCCUGAUUUGCCCCAGCUGUGUUUCCCUCCUGUUACCCAUUCCCUGAUUGCUCCCUCUGUGUAUUUAAGCCCUGUGUUUUUCUGUGUCCGUGUCGUGAUCUACCCUUAUCCACCCUCUUCUUCCUGUGUGUUCUGUCUGCUUGUGAACUCAAGGAAAACAGUCUGUUCCAGUCCAGCUCUCUCUCUCCCCGCUCGACUCUGGCUUCACUAUAUAGAGAAAUAGAAAGAGACUCCAUCAUCAGUCAAUCACCACCACCUGUGCUCACCUGCUUCCCGUGGAACCAUGCUGAAGGUAUUUCUGCUUGGAUGCUUCCUAUGCCUCACUCCAGUUCAACCAAUUGUCAAUGUGUAUGAAAAGUAUGGUGGCUCUCACCACGGCUGAUAUGAGAUCACCAACAACAACAAUAUUUCCCUGCAGCAACUUCUCUCUGUCCUCCUACAAGCACCUGCUAAAACCACUACAACAGCUGCACCCACUACAACUCCCUGAAAUCUG
Molecule: long non-coding RNA, 612 nt
Organism: Oreochromis aureus
Lineage: Eukaryota; Metazoa; Chordata; Actinopteri; Cichliformes; Cichlidae
Source: Ensembl